AUGGAGUCCCGGGCCAUUAGCCCCGGCGAGACGGCGCUGCCGUACGCGUACGCGCCGCUGGCCCCGUCCGACGUCGCGGAGGAGCGCCGGGGCGGCGGCGGUGGGGUGAGGUGGCGCGCGUGCGUCGCCGUGCUCGCCGCGUCCGCCGUGGUGGUGCUGGUCGUGGCCAGCGCGCUGGCCGGGUCCGGCAGGGUGGACCGGGUCGUGGGCGGCGACGUGGUCGCGGACAUGCCGCCGCUGGCGGAGACGGCGCGGAGCCGCGGCCGGGACGCCGGCGUGUCGGAGAAGACCUCCGGGGCGGCGGACGAGAUGGUGGGGCUCCUCGGCGCCGGCGGCGACGCCGACGGGUUCCCGUGGAGCAACGCCAUGCUGCAGUGGCAGCGCACCGGCUUCCAUUUCCAGCCCGAGAAGAACUGGAUGAACGAUCCCAACGGUCCCGUGUACUACCGCGGAUGGUACCACCUCUUCUACCAGUACAACCCGGAGGGGGCGGUGUGGGGGAACAUCGCGUGGGGCCACGCCGUGUCCCGCGACCUCAUCCACUGGCGCCACCUCCCCCUCGCCAUGGUGCCCGACCAGUGGUACGACAUCAACGGCGUCUGGACCGGCUCCGCCACCGUGCUCCCUGACGGCUCCCUCGUCAUGCUCUACACCGGCUCCACCAACACCUCCGUGCAGGUCCAGUGCCUCGCCGUCCCCGCCGACCCCAACGACUCCCUCCUCCGCAACUGGACCAAGUACGAGGCCAACCCUAUCCUUGUCCCGCCGCCCGGCAUCGGCGACAAGGACUUCCGCGACCCCACCACCGCAUGGUUCGACGAGUCCGACAAGACCUGGCGCACCGUCAUCGGCUCCAAGGACAACCACGGCCACACCGGCAUUGUCAUGACCUACAAGACCAAGGACUUCAUCAACUACGAGCUCAUCCCCGGUCUGCUCCACAGUGUCCCCGGCACCGGCAUGUGGGAGUGCAUCGACUUCUACCCCGUCGGCGGCGCCGAUGGCUCGGAGGAGCUGUACGUGAUGAAGGAGAGCAGCGACGACGACCGCCACGACUGGUACGCGCUCGGGAGGUACGACGCCGCGGCCAACAAGUACACGCCGAUCGACGCGGAGAUGGACGUGGGCAUCGGGCUGAGGUACGACUGGGGCAAGUUCUACGCGUCCAAGACCUUCUAUGACCCCUCCAAGAACCGCCGCGUGCUCUGGGGGUGGAUCGGCGAGACCGACUCCGAGCGCGCCGACGUCGCCAAGGGAUGGGCGUCCCUCCAGUCGAUCCCGAGGACGGUGGAGCUGGACGAGAAGACCCGAACCAACCUCAUCCAGUGGCCCGUGGUCGAGAUCGAGACGCUCCGCAUCAACUCCACCGACCUCGGCGGCACCACCAUCGACACCGGCAGUGUGCUCCCUCUCCCGCUCCGUCGCGCCACCCAGCUCGACAUCGAGGCCACCUUCCACCUUGACACCUCCGCCAUCGCUGCCGUCAACGAGGCUGACGUCAGCUACAACUGCAGCACCAGCGGUGGUGCUGCCAACCGUGGCGCUCUCGGUCCUUUCGGACUCCUCGUCCUUGCUGACGGUGCCCUCAAGGAGCAGACGGCGGUGUACUUCUACGUGUCGAGGGGCCUCGAUGGGGGCCUCCAGACCCAUUUCUGCCAGGACGAGUCACGGUCGUCGCUAGCCCAGGACGUCGUGAAAAGGGUGGUCGGCUUCACCGUGCCUGUGCUCGACGGUGAGGAUCUAUCCCUCAGGGUGCUGGUGGACCACUCGAUCGUGGAGAGCUUCGCCAUGGGUGGAAGGUCCACCGCGACAUCGAGGGUGUAUCCAACGGAGGCCAUCUACGCCGCCGCUGGCGUGUACCUUUUCAACAACGCCACCGGCGCUGCCGUCACCAUGGAGAAGCUCGUGGUGCACGAGAUGGACGACUCCUACAACCAGAUCUUCACGGCCGACGAUGCCUCAGCCGCCUUGUAG
Molecule: ribosomal RNA, 1974 nt
Filed under: Triticum aestivum (bread wheat)
Lineage: Eukaryota; Viridiplantae; Streptophyta; Magnoliopsida; Poales; Poaceae
Description: partial small subunit ribosomal RNA
Source: RNAcentral